GCUCCAGGGAUUAGUGGCGAACGGGUGAGUAACACGUGAGUAACCUGCCCUUGACUCUGGGAUAAGCGCUAGAAAUGGCGUCUAAUACCGGAUACGAGCUUCAGCCGCAUGGCUAGGAGUUGGAAAGAAUUUUGGUCAAGGAUGGACUCGCGGCCUAUCAGCUAGUUGGUGAGGUAAUGGCUCACCAAGGCGACGACGGGUAGCCGGCCUGAGAGGGUGACCGGCCACACUGGGACUGAGACACGGCCCAGACUCCUACGGGAGGCAGCAGUGGGGAAUAUUGCACAAUGGGCGAAAGCCUGAUGCAGCAACGCCGCGUGAGGGAUGACGGCCUUCGGGUUGUAAACCUCUUUUAGUAGGGAAGAAGCGAAAGUGACGGUACCUGCAGAAAAAGCACCGGCUAACUACGUGCCAGCAGCCGCGGUAAUACGUAGGGUGCAAGCGUUGUCCGGAAUUAUUGGGCGUAAAGAGCUCGUAGGCGGUUUGUCGCGUCUGCUGUGAAAUCUGGGGGCUCAACCCCCAGCCUGCAGUGGGUACGGGCAGACUAGAGUGCGGUAGGGGAGAUUGGAAUUCCUGGUGUAGCGGUGGAAUGCGCAGAUAUCAGGAGGAACACCGAUGGCGAAGGCAGAUCUCUGGGCCGUAACUGACGCUGAGGAGCGAAAGCAUGGGGAGCGAACAGGAUUAGAUACCCUGGUAGUCCAUGCCGUAAACGUUGGGAACUAGAUGUGGGGGCCAUUCCACGGUCUCCGUGUCGCAGCUAACGCAUUAAGUUCCCCGCCUGGGGAGUACGGCCGCAAGGCUAAAACUCAAAGGAAUUGACGGGGGCCCGCACAAGCGGCGGA
RNAcentral lists this ribosomal RNA (842 nucleotides) under Frigoribacterium sp. Its description in RNAcentral is "bacterial SSU rRNA". It matches the Rfam family "Bacterial small subunit ribosomal RNA", at positions 82 to 936 of the family's 1533-position model. The record is from RNAcentral. Lineage: Bacteria; Bacillati; Actinomycetota; Actinomycetes; Micrococcales; Microbacteriaceae.